This 292-nucleotide ribosomal RNA is filed under the name uncultured bacterium. RNAcentral's name for it is "partial 16S ribosomal RNA". It matches the Rfam family "Bacterial small subunit ribosomal RNA", at positions 505 to 796 of the family's 1533-position model. The record is from RNAcentral.
GUGCCAGCAGCCGCGGUAAAACGUAGGAUCCGAGCGUUAUCCGAAUUCACUGGGCGUAAAGCGCGUGUAGGCGGUUUGGUAAGUUGGAUGUAAAAUCUCCUGGCUCAACUGGGAGGGGACGUACAAUACUGUCAGACUAGAGGACGGCAGAGGAAGGUGGAAUUCCCGGUGUAGUGGUGAAAUGCGUAGAUAUCGGGAGGAACACCAGUGGCGAAGGCGGCCUUCUGGGCCGGUCCUGACGCUCAGACGCGAAAGCUAGGGGAGCAAACGGGAUUAGAAACCCCCGUAGUCC